GACGAACGCUGGCGGCGUGCUUAACACAUGCAAGUCGAACGGAAAGGCCCUGCUUUUGUGGGGUGCUCGAGUGGCGAACGGGUGAGUAACACGAGAGUAACCUGCCCUUGACUUUGGGAUAACUUCAGGAAACUGGGGCUAAUACCGGAUAGGAGCUCCUGCUGCAUGGUGGGGGUUGGAAAGUUUCGGCGGUUGGGGAUGGACUCGCGGCUUAUCAGCUUGUUGGUGGGGUAGUGGCGUACCAAGGCUUUGACGGGUAGCCGGCCUGAGAGGGUGACCGGCCACAUUGGGACUGAGAUACGGCCCAGACUCCUACGGGAGGCAGCAGUGGGGAAUAUUGCACAAUGGGCGGAAGCCUGAUGCAGCAACGCCGCGUGCGGGAUGACGGCCUUCGGGUUGUAAACCGCUUUCGCCUGUGACGAAGCGUGAGUGACGGUAAUGGGUAAAGAAGCACCGGCUAACUACGUG
RNAcentral lists this ribosomal RNA (468 nucleotides) under uncultured bacterium. RNAcentral's name for it is "partial 16S ribosomal RNA". It matches the Rfam family "Bacterial small subunit ribosomal RNA", at positions 28 to 507 of the family's 1533-position model. The record is from RNAcentral.